AAUUUCCUAGGAAAAGUAAGUUGUGCUUAGGAAGUAGGAAAGCAGUCAGGCCCCCGCUUCCCACGUACGGUCAAAAAGCAAACAUGAGAGUCUGCUAUAGUGAGAUGGAAAUGGCUAGCUUGCCUUUUUCUUGUCUAUUUCAUAGCCAAGGAUGAAGGAAAAACUGGACCUCAUUAUGGAUUUACUUUUGGGAUACACUCAUUAUUCCAGAGGAGGGUAAAAGGCUGAGAAGCUUAAGGUAUUUCAGUCUGUUUUAUGUUACUCAUUUGCGAAAAGCAGGCUCAUCGAAUACAGGUGAGUUUCAACGCGUCUUGAAUAUGGCAGCAUUUAAAAGUCUUCAGACCAGGCAUGGUGGCUCAUGCCUGUCAUCCCAGCACUUUGGGAGGCCAAGGUGGGAGGAUUGCUUGAGGCCAGGAGUUCGAGACCAGCCUGUUCAGCAUAGCAGGACCCCCAUCUCUACAAAAACUAAACAGAUUAGCUAGGUGUGGUGGUGUGUGCCUGUAGUCCUAGCUGCUUGGGAGGCUGAGGCAGGCGGAUAGCCUGAGCACAGGAGUUGGAGGCUGCAGUAAGCCAUGAUUACACCACUGCACUUGAGCCUGGGCAGCAGAGUGAGACCUGUCUUUUAAAAAAAAAAGGAGCUGGGCACGGUGGCUCAUGCCUGUAAUCCCAGCACUUUGGGAGGCCGAGGCAGGCAGAUCACGAGGUCAGGAGAUCGAGACCAUCCUGGCUAACAGUGAAACCCUGUCUCUACUGAAAAUACAAAAAAAAUCAGCCGGGCGUGGUGGCGGGUGCCUGUAGUCCCAGCUGCUCGGGAGGCUGAGGCAGGAGAAUGGCAUGAACCCAGGAGUUGGAGCUUGCAGUGAGCCGAGAUUGUGCCACUGCACUCCAGCCUGGGCGACAGUGAGACUGCUUCUCAAAAAAAAAAAAAAAAAAAAAAAAAAAAAGAAAGGGUCUUCAAAGACAAUAAGAUCUGUGCUCUCACGUAGGGUGGAUGAGGGGCUGCCAAGUUAGCAAUGAAUGUUUCCCAUUUCUUCUUAGUUUAUGGACUUUCCAUAAACUCAGGAUGGCAGUUUGGUUGGUUGGAGAAGGAUAUGGUGAUGGCGGGAGUUACAAUACAUUACUUAUAGGGGAAGAUAGGCUUUUGAAAGGUUAAAGCUUAAAAGUGAGAAUGGAAAAGGGAUGAAUGAAUGAACAUGAUGAGGUGAGAGGGAAGAGGUAAAGGGAAAAGGAGAACAAGCAACUCUUCUCUGCGUGGCACCUGGGAUGAAUGGUUUCUGGGGACAUCCCUGAUGGCAGUUUUGUGGAGAGGUGCAAAGCUUUAUGUGUUAAGAAAUGAGCUGUAGGCUCAGUGCAGUGGCUCACGCCUGUAAUCCCAGCACUUUGGGAGGCCGAGGUGGGUGAAAAGAAAAAAUGGGCUGGGCGCCGUGGCUUACGCCUGUAAUCCCAGCACUUUGGGAGGCCGAGGUGGGCGGAUCAUGAGGUAAGGAGUUCGAGAGCAGCCUGGCCAACAUGGUGAAACCGUGUCUCUCCAAAAAAAUAGAAAAAACAUCCCUGUAUGGUGGUGAGCACCUGUAGUCCCAGUUACUCAGGAGGCUGAGGCAUGAGAAUCGCUUAAACCUCGGAGGCGGAGGCUGCAAUGAGCUGAGAUGGUGCCACUGCACUCCAGCCUGGGUGACAGAGCUGGGUGGUGGCUCAAGAUAUGUUUUGUAAACCUGAAGAUUUGAGAUCAUAUAAGCCAAAUCGAAACUUAAUUGGCAUUCAUAACUUUUGGUUCUAGAGACUCCAUGAUCAACUAAGAGCCACCAAACAUUUCCCAUGUAGACUAUUUUGACCAUGCUGACUCUACUGACACUGUGGUUACUGAAUUCACUUUAUCUCUAGAAAUUAAUUCUUACUAAUGGAUGUCUGUCACUGUAAGAUCCUUCUCUCCUCUGAAAUAAGGAGAACAUUUUAACUUCAGUAGUUUAAACUAGUGUCCUAAACUAUAGCAUUCAAAAUGAGAUAAUAUGCUAAAGUAAUACACAAACCAAAAAUCCCAGUGGCUAACACAAAAAGUUUUUCUUACUCAUUUUACAUAUCCAGGGUAAGUCAGUAAUAGACGCAGACACACCCAGAGACCAAGGAUGAGUUGUGAUCUGUCUGCACACAUAGUUCACAAUGCCUGAGUGAGUUGUGCUUUGGCCUUUAAACUUCCACUCAUGUUUAAUUAAUAAAGAUUUUGCUCAAAUGCCAUUUGAUGAUGAGUUUCAUGACGAUGAUCAACUUUAAAAGAACUUGGAAGUACAAUCCUCAAGCGUUUCUGGAAAUAGCAGAACUACAAUAUUUGAGAAAAAUAUUUUUUAAUGUAUAAAAAAUUGGCAGGGUAGGCUAGCAAGCAAGAGACCUAGAGAAAAGUUGAUGUUACAGUCUCAAGUCGAAAGGCAAUCUGCAGGCAGAAUUAUUUCCUUGAGGGAUCUCAGUCUUUUAAUAUAAUCAAUUGACUGGAUGAGCCCUACAAUAUUUUGGAAAAUAAUCUGCUUUUCUCAGAAAUUACUGAUUUUCAUGUUAAUCUCAUCUAACAAUACUUUCAGAGCAACAUCUAUACUGGUAUUUGAAUAUAUAACUCUUUUAUCUUUUAAAAUAUCAAAUAAUACAGUUAUAUAUAUAUACACACAUAUGUAUAUAUGUCACCUAAAUUGUAGAUAUCAGAAAUCAGAAUGCUGUGAUAUGAAUAUUUAGUAUAUUUUAAUCAUGAUAAAUUAUACAUCCUUCUACCUUAUGAUAAUGGAUUUUAAGAUCUAUGCUGUUAAACUCUAUAUUUAUCCUUUAAUUCAUAUCUUGCUUAUUUUACAUUUAUCUGAGAAUACAUUGGGUCUACUAAAUCUUUACUAUCAUUCACAAGUCUUACAUCUUAAGAUAACUUUUCAAUAAAAUAAAAAUUCUUCAUUGCACCUAGAAAGGAGCAGGGUUUUGAAAGCGAUCAAUGAUUACUCUGAUACCUAAUAUAAUAAUAUAAUAUAGUAAAAAUCAAAAUACUUGAAUGAAAAAUGUAAAAUUAAUAGUUUUGCUUUCAUUGUUUUUAUUCCAGUGUCUAUUUUAGAAUGUUUUUACUCUAAUUGUGUUUUUAUGCAAAACCAAAUGAGCUUUAGAUAAUUCCAUUGAUACAUUACAUAUGAAAGUUCUCGUUAAAUAGGAUAUAGCAUAUUUUACUUAAAAAUCCAAAUUAUAAAAUAAAGAGGGAUUUUAAGUUGAGUCUAAAAUUUUUGUUUCAAUUUUGUUUUUAUUUAAAGACUUGCUAUAAUUCUGUGAGAGAGCUAUAAAAGUCUGCUCAGAAACAUUAUAAUGUAAAAUGGACAGAGAAGGACAAUGAGAUAUUUAAUUUGCCACGGCAAAGCCAUUGCUGUGAAGAAUGGAUAAUAUAUGUCAAUGGUAAUAUAUGAAGAAAUAACACAGGUGAAUAGCAGAGGCAAUAAAUCUGUUUUUACCACAGGACUUGUCUUACACUUUUCUCUUAGUAAUAAAUAAAAUAAUUUUCGACCAGAUGGAGCUGGCUUGAAAUCCUCUUGUUUAUGGCAGUACAUAUCGGUUAUGAUUCAAAAAAUAUAGCCCAUUUCCAAAAACCUGCAACAAAGAGAUACUUUCUCAGGUGUCAGUUUCUUGGUCGGGAAUGAAAAUAGUGCCAACCUGUGAUACCUUCACUCUAAUUUUACUUUCUGAGGAAGUUUUCUGUAAUAGUUAUUUGGUGAUAAUUAUUAAUACUGGUGAGAAAAUCAAUGUAAAAGAGGAGAAAUAACCCACACAACCACAUACAACUAGGAAAUGAUAGAUGGAUCUGAAAAAAAGGAUAAGCACUCUUAACAAGUUCAACACCCAAGUACUAUUGCAAGUACAAGCUGUAUUUCAUGGAAAAAAAAAAAAGAAUAACUCAAAAGGCAGAACGAAGAGCCUAGAGGUCAGAGAUGAGAGGCAUGAAUAAUUAUUCACAGGCGUUGAAUAUAAUCAAAUGACUUGCAACAUUUACCACUGGGAUUUUAAAAUGUGGUGGACCAAUCAUUCUUUUAGUCUGUGCAUUUUCCCAUUUUUUUCAACAGGAAUGUCUAGAGACAUUAUUCCUGUUUUGCCACUGUAUUUUUGGUGAAUGUGUAGUAAGUAACUGGCCUCUUUAGUAUCACAAAGCUGGAUGAAGAAAAUGUGGUACAUAUACACCAUGAAAUACUAUGCCGCCACAAAAAGGAAAUGAGAUCAUGUCCUCUGCAAGGACAUGGAUGAAUCUGGAAGCCAUUAUCCUUAGCAAAGUAACGCAGGAACAGAAAACCAAACACCACAUGUUGUCUCUUAGAAGUGGGAGCUGAACAGUAAGAACACAUGGACACAGGGUGGAGAACAAUACACACUGGGGCUUGAUGGGGGGUGGAGGGGAGGGAUGGGGAGCAUUAGAAAAAAUAACUAAUGCAUGCUGGGCUUAAUACCUAUGUGAUGGGUUGAUAGGUGCAGCAAACCACCCUGGCACAUGUUUAUCAAUGUAACAAACCUGCACAUCCUGCACAGGUACUCCAAAACUAAAAGUAAAAAAAUCUAAAAGAAAAAAAAAAAAGAAUUAAACCCCAAAUCACUUCCCCAUCUGGACUUGAUUUAGAUGAAAAGCUUCUGGACUUUGAGCUGAUGCUAUAGUGGGUUGAAAAUUUUGGGGUCCUCAGAAGGGGAUGAGGAUAUAUUGCAUGAGAGAGCAACAUGAAUCAUUGAGAGCCAGAAUAUAGAGAGUGGUAGGUAGACUGUAGGAGAGCCCUCAAUGAUCCCAGCUUUCUUGUAUUCGCGUUGCACUUACUUGUAUAAUAUGGCAGAUGGGAUGUGAUGUCACUUUCAAGAUUAGGUUAUAAAUAGACUAUGGCUUCAAUCAGAGGGUUUUCUCUCUGUCUAGCUCUCUUUUGGGUAGUUCAUUCUGAGGAAAGCCAGCUGCCACGUUAUGAUGUAGGCCUGUGAGGUCCACGUAGCAAAGAACAUAUGGAAGAUUUCUACCACCCCCUAACUAAGCCUUUAGGUCAGACCGCAACCCCAGCCAACAAGGUAGCUACAAACUCUUGAGAAGCCUUGAGACAGAGGUACUCAAUAGAGCCAUUCCUAUGAGAAACGUAAGUAUCUGCUGUUUUACACCGCUAAGGUUUUAGCUAAUGUAUUAUGCCAUAAUAGAUAAGUUAUAUACAACCUUUAUCAAAUAAUAAAAGUAACCAUCAUCAGUAAUGAGACAAAUCAAAAACCAUGGCCCACCCAAUAGAACAUAAUGAGGAGAGUACAGAAUUGCUUCUGGGAUAUUUCUGACAAAGAUGUAUAUGCUUCAUUCAUACAUGAGGAAACAUCACACAUACUCAAGAUGGGAGAGCCAUUCUAAAAAAUAACUAGGCAGAAAUCUUCAAAAAUAUUAAAGUCACGGAAACCAAGAAAAAAUAUGAACCUGUUCCAGAUUAAAGGAAACUAAACAGACCUAACAUUUUAAUACAAUGUUUGAUUUUGAACUUGAACUUUUUGUUAUAUAAGACACUAUUGAGACAAGUGCUAAUGCUUGAAUAGGGCUGAAGGAUUAGAUUAUAAUAAUACAUUAAUGCAAAUUUCCUGAUUUUAAACAUUGUAGUUUGAUUGCACAAGGAGAAUGUCUUUAUGUGUGGAAAAUAAAUAGUCAACAUUCUGUCUUCAAGCUUCUGAAAAAACUCUGCUUUUAGGGCAUAGAUAGAAGUGGAUGAUAAUUCACCUGUUCCUCUGCUACUAAUUGAGCUGCUCUCUGUUUCCAUGGCUGGCUCAUGGGAUGAGAGAAUAUAUCUAGUUUUUUAUGUUUCAAUUUGUCUCUCUAUGGCAUUUUUGUGAAAAUAAGGAAGUGUGGAGACUUAUAUAUGUUUCUAAAUUGUAAUAGUUCAUUAAUGUAAAGUACAGACACAGUCUUCACUUUUCCUUCUUAGACCGUUUAAAUAUGGCCACGAAACAAGUAGUCUCUGGUUGGCUGGGCACUGUGGCUCAUGUCCUUAACACCAACACUUUGGGAGGCCGAGGCAGGCAAAUCACUUGAGGUCAGGAGUUCGAGACCAGCCUGGCCAAUGUGGCAAAACCCCAUCUCUUCUAAAAAUACAAAAAUUAGCUGAGUGCGGUGGUGCACACCGGUAAUCCCAGUUACUCGAGAAGCUGAGGCAGGAGAAUCACUUGAACCUGGAAGGCAGAGGUUGCAGUGAGCCAAGACCGCACCACUACACUCCAGCCUGGGCAAUAGAGCAAGACUCCAUCUCAAAAAAAAAAAAAAAAAGAAAAAAGAAAAUAGUCUCUGGUUAAAUAACCUCUGAAAGACUCCACCAAAAAUUUCAUCUUAGCAUUUCUCCCCAAACUUCAUGUAAAAUAAAAUAGAGUUGAGAGAAAAAUAGAAAGGCAAGGGAGUACCUGUUCACUAUUUUUAUUAAACCAGUGUUCUACUUUAUUUUAGGUGUAUCUUUUCUUAUUUAAAUGUCAGCUAAACUUUCUUUUUAAGAUAUUGAAUGAAAGAUGCCCAUCCUUCAGGUUUCGUUUAAGCAAGAAUCCCCAUUCUCAAAUAAUAUAAUAUAAACUUUCCAAAUUCUUAAGUAGAUCAUCUGAGAUUGAAAGCUAAGUUUAACUUUCUCAAAGAUAUUUUAGCCGCCAUGACACCUAGACAAAGUGGUAUAUUAAAUUCUGAUUAAUUUGGUCCUAAAGCACCUAAGAAUCAUUCUUACUUUCUUAUCCACAGGGGUUAUUAAGUUUUCACAUUAAAAAAAAUCCAACAGUGAAUAAUACUGCAUUGGGGUUACUGUAAUUGUUAAGUAAAAUAAGAAAUACAAAUCUUUAGUUAGAUCACAUGGCACCUGACUACUGCUUAGAAAAUGGUAAGACUUACUACAUAAAUGAUGAGUCACUAUUGACAUCUACUAUAUCAUAUCAUAGGUUAGGUAUCUAAUUAUAAAUAGUCAAAUCAGCUGACUCAAGGUGGCAUAGCUCAAGCAGAGGAAGAUAAUACAAGUUGAGUAUGGAUUUAACACUCUAAACCUGUCAGCACUGUAGGAAAAGUAACUUAAAACUGCACACCCCACUUAUGCAUAAUCAUCAGAUAUAAAGAGGGUACAUUCCUGUAAUUUAUUGUUGCUCUAGUGAUCUUAAAGAAUUAAGUCCACAUUCAUAAAGUCCAAACUUGUCUCCAAGGAUUUGCUUUGACUUUGGGAGUAUCUGGAUCAUUAAGUAAUUUCCGGAGGUCAGAGUAAAAGCUUUUUAUCUCUAAAUAUUACUUCCCUGGAAAAUUAGAUGUAGCAGAAGUCAGUAACGGAGUGACCUUUGUCUUAAACAAUUCAUAGAUUCACUGAAAUUUUCUUCAACUUUAGGAAAAUUAAAUAUAUUCCACAGUGCUGUAAGUCUUAAAUAUUGAUUUUCCUCUGAAAUCUUGACUCAUCCUACCCACCAACAUUCUCCCUUUGUACACUAUGUUCUUUGUAAUGUUCACGUUACACAAGUGAAAAUUAGUAACAUUAGUAAAUUUUCAUUGCAGGUUUAUUUGUUCAUAUUUCUGGAUAUAUAAUCCAUUACUGUUAAACUUCAUAUCAAUGUUCCGAUAUUUCUUCAUCUUAUGUUUUAUGUUACAAAACAGGUUAUUUCACUAUAUGUAUUUUUAAUUGAUUAAUUCUUCCCUUUUUUGGAAAUGAAACAGCCCUCUCAAUUAUUGGGACAGAAAAGUUAUUUCAUAGGGAAUACUUCAAACACUGAUAUCUACAACAGGCAGUAAGAUUCGUCACAACAAUUGGUAUACUGUCAAUAUACCAUACAAAGUUCCAUCUGGUCUUGAUUAAAAAUUAUUUUAGUUUUCUCAGGAAAAUGAUACAGAGGGAGAAUUGCCUAGAUUAUAUGAGAGAAAAAAAAGUAGAGAGAAACAUAAUGUUUUCUUAGAUUAUUACAGCAGUGAACUAUUUCCACCUGGUAAGAAGGGUGCACUUGAGAAUGGGGUACAAGUACUCUAGGAACAUAGAUGUAAGUUCUGGAUGCACAGUAGUUGUUGCUUAGCUGUAAGCUGGAAAUUUCAAGGCAGAAACAGCAGAUACCACAACUAUAACUGGGUCUUCUUGUUUUUUGUUUUAUGUGUAUACGUGAGAUUAUGGGGAAAGACAAAAGUAAUGCAUAGAGAUUUAUUUUUUAACAUUCAAUUCAUAAGCAGUGUUUAUACCUCUUUGUACUUACUUGAAAAGUGUAUAUUAUGUAAAUUUAGUAUAAAAACACUUGGACUAAUUCAUACCAUGUGGUAAAAUUUCACAUUCAAAAGAAAUACCCUUCUGUUAUUAAAAAUAAAAAAAAAAGGAGCCAGGAGGGUGGCUCAUGACUGUAAUCCCAGUGCUCUGGGAAGCCAAGGUGGAGGGAUCAUUUGAGGCCAGGACUACUUGAGAACAGCCUGGGCAACAUAGCUAGAUCCCUUCUCUACAAAAAGUAAAAAAAAAAAAAAAAAACAAAAACAAAUAGCUAGGCAGGGUGGCACAUGACUGGCUAUUAAGGAGGCUCAGGUGGAGGGAUCUCUUCAGCCCAGGAAUUUAAGGCUUCAGUGAGCUAAGAUUGGGCCAUUGCACUCCAGCCAGGGCAACAGACCAAGACCCAGUCUCAAAAUAAAUAAAUAAAAAUGAAAGAAAGCAGUGCACUGAAAAUCAAUUUAAGUAUUUACUGGAGUUGUCUUGAAGGCCCAAUGGGAAAUGUCAGUAAGGGCACAUGAGAAAACACUUUAAGAACCUAUUCUUCCAAAGAUCUUUCCAGUAUCUUAUGACAACACAGUAAAUUAUACCCACUCCAACUGCAAAAGCUGAAACUACUCUGCUUUCUCACUUACCUACACUUUUGACUUUCCAAAUACAUUUCUCUCUUCGGAUAUGAGCUGCAAACUCCUUAUAUAAAGGCUCCAACUCUGCAGCCCUAAUUAUUCUAGUUGGCCCAAGAAAAAUCCUAAUUGUUUUAUCUAAGGAGACGGAAUUUUCCAAUACUGUAGAGGCAUGUGUGUGUGUUUGCUUUAAGGAAGCUGUUUUGGUAAUAAAAAGUCACUGAAGGUCAUAAAUUCAUGUUAACACAUCCAGUGUACAUGAAGUAGGCACCGAGUUAAACUAUUUGUCUACUAUAUAGCAUGUCAUCUUAAAAGCCUUAUUUUUUCCUCAAAAUAUUAACUUUAUUUUUCUCCCUGUAAAAUCAAGACACAGUUAAAAUGUAGCCUUCCUCAUUUUCUGGGAAUACUUUCUAACAAGAUAUGCUUCUUUCCAAUUGGACUUCUAAAUUUCUAGCAAUUCUAACAGUGCAUAAAAGAGGCAACCCCAAAAGUGUAGCAGGUACUGAAUAACAGAUUUGCAGCCUUGGGUAUCCACAUUAAAAUUUGAAAUCUAAGUGAAUUACUUCAAGCUGAUUUCUUAGGUCAAGGAGAGAUUAUGGUCCUUAAAUGCCUGAUAAGGUCACAUACACAAUUUCAAGUGCAUUAUAGUAAAUCCAUGUGACAGCUCCUACAGCUACUAACCUGCUUCUGCCCUCACGGUAGCGUGCACAAUCUUCAUCGCAUGUCCUGGGUGGUGGUAGGAGCAGUAGAAACCCCCUGGGUCAUGUCAGAUUUAGAAAAUAUAAGCAAUGGCUCAUACACGAAUUUUAAGUUGUAACCUACAUGUGAUAAGUUGCUUUAUCUUCCAAAUGUAAUAAAAACCAGAAGUUACUUUGAAAUAAAUUGAAGGAUUAGCAGUGGUGACUGAGGAAUAAAAAUUAUAAUUUAAAAUUGUCCUUAAGGCUGGAAUUCUUAACUUAUUGACCUUAUAUCCUACAUAUUAUAGGACUUUGUAAAUUUAGGCUGAUAUGGAAAUGUAUAUUUAUAUCAAAUUUAAAUUUUUAGAAUGAUGGUGCUACUAUAUUCUAAUUGUUAAUUUGAUAAUUGUAAUUGUAAUUUGUUAAUUUGUUCUAAUAAUGUUUUCAUGACAUUAUUCAUUUGCUGCUUGGCUUGAUGGCAUAACAAGUAUGGGUUAUUUACCCUGAAAAGGAAACAGUAUCACCCUUCCAGAAUCUCUAUUUACAGCUACAAAAGAUGCAACACACCUGUUUCUGGACCACUUCCAGAUCAGAUGUGAUGCAUGCUUUAGAUCAUUUACUUUGAUCUAGGAAUUACUGUCUGGCAUUUCGUGGUGUAGGGUAGGUGUCUCCAGCACUGUAUAGGUGUCUGGAAUUGAGAUAAGAAUCAAUUUCAAUACAAAAUACAUUUUUUGCUUAAAGCACGCAAGGAUUCUAUGAAUUCAGGUAAAUUCACAGGGUGGAAAACAGGAACUAAUGUUAUAUAUUCCUGUAGUUAUCUUCAUAAUGAAGCAGAAAGAAAAACAAAAAAGUUACAAAAAUAAAUGAAAAGAACUGUAUUUUCUAGAAUUGAAAAAUAAUUCUUUUAGAUGAUAGAUAAGAUGUUUACAUCAACCUGCAAAAAGUCAAUGUUGAAGAGGUCUCAUUGUAUCUCACAGAAUUUUGAUUUGCCUACUCACCCACAGGAGACAUUUCUGGGACAGUAGCAACAUAAGGUCCAUCCCAAAACUUUGGCUCAUUAUCAUUAAUAUCCUGCACUUUGAUGAUGAAUUCUGAUUCAGGCUCCAGGGGCUUUCUGGUUUCUAUGUCCACAGCCUGAGCACGAAGAGUGUAGAAAGGUUUUUCUUCUCUAUCUAGGCUCCUUAUUGCGUGAAUGUCCCCUGUGGUUUCAUCAAUGGUAAAAACGGUGCCAGCGCCAUCUCCUGAGAGGGUGUAUUUCGCAGUGCCCUCUCCCUUGUCUAAGUCGGAAUGGAGCUUUAGGGAAGAGAGGGAGAGAGAGAGGAAGAGAAAGAGAAGGACAAAGAAAGAACACCAUUAAAAGGAUGUUGCCAAAUUAAAAAGUCAUAAUUUGCAAUACAAUUCCUUUAAUCAAAAAUGUUAAAUAAAAAUCUUAUGGUUCUGUUUUCUUGUUUUUUAUUUCUCCAACUUCUUUUUAUAAAAAUUUCAACACAAAAAGUUGAAAACUGUGCAAUGAACACAUAUACAUAUACAUCCAAACAUUCCUCCAUAUGUGUGCAAUGAACACAUAUAUACCUAUACAUCCAAACAUUCCUCCAUUCGUCUAUUAAUCUGCUUGCCUUAUCAGAUAGGUCUCAUAUCCAUUCUUCUGUUCAUCCUUCUCUUAACCCAUUUUUUUUUUGAGGUGUUACAAAGAUCAGAACAAAAGUACAACCUCAGAUAUAGCAGCAGGCAAAAAAAAACAAUAAAUUUUGAAAAUUUGUAUUUAGUUCUUCUGUAUCCCUUUGGGAUAACAUUUUCAUAAAAUGAAAUGCACAAAACUUCAGUGUACUUAUUGUUUCAUUUUAAAUAAACAUUGCAAUAAAAAUAAAUUAGCUCAUAGACACCACAAAAUAAACUUUCCAAGUGUUCUGAAGAUGAAAUCAAUGACCUGAAUCCAGUGGGAGAUAGUGCAAAGGAACUCAGAAAACACUAAGCAUUUUCAUUUGUAAAGAAGGGAAAAAUCUGGCAAAUCAAGAGGUUUUCAGUGAUAUAGGGCAGAGCGUCUCAUUUUAACAGGCUGAGUUUGAAUGAGUUUACCACUAUGAUUGGUAGAAUCACUGAUUAUCCUUUCAGAUUCACAAAUAGCUUGUUCCAAUUCAUUCUAUAUAGAGAAUAUUUAUGUUGAGUAAUAUAGGAAAGCAUUGAAAUUCUGCUAAUUUUUUUUUAAAAUUCAACACAUGUAUGGUACAUUACAUUAUAGCAUGGAAUAAGAUACACAUGAAUAAGCGAUAAGGAAGAGAACUAAAGAGUAGAGAGAAUUAUCAGUGUAAUGCCAUAAAGCAGCGUUGUUCAAACCGGAGACCAAGAAUAAAUGAAAAAUGGACACAGUCUUAAAAGUAUAUAAAUUAUGUGUAAAUAAAUAUAUACAUAAAAUAUUACAUAAAAUAAAAUAGUGAAUCAUAUACAAUUUUCUAGUAGUAUAUAUUUGUAUAAAUAUAUUCUUAUACAUAAUAUAAUUAUAUAUACAUAACAGUCAUAAAUAAUAUUUAUAUUAAUUUUUAUGCAGAUGCUGAUUUAAAUGUUUUAAACUAUUCUUGCUCAUUUGGGUAUAGCCAUUUGAUUUCAGCAUCCAAAUUUUUACAUGUAACAGCUUUUUCCAGACAACAGAUCACCCAAAAGAAAAUUAAACUUUUGCAGCAUUUCUAACCAUUUGGGCUACGCCUUAAAAAUCUGCAUAUGAGCACUGCUCUUUGCAAAUCAUUGCUUAAGAAUGAGUUCUGUUUUCCUAACAUUUCAACACACACAAAAACUCUGAAAAUAUUUUAAAUUAUAUAAAUAUCCUGUUGCAAAUAAGCUUCC
This 12327-nucleotide long non-coding RNA is filed under the name Homo sapiens (human). RNAcentral's name for it is "non-protein coding lnc-GTF2H2-7:8". Lineage: Eukaryota; Metazoa; Chordata; Mammalia; Primates; Hominidae. The record is from RNAcentral.